CAGCCGCCGCGGGAAUACGUAGGUGGCAAGCGUUGUCCGGAAUUAUUGGGCGUAAAGGGCUCGCAGGCGGUUUCUUAAGUCUGAUGUGAAAGCCCCCGGCUCAACCGGGGAGGGUCAUUGGAAACUGGGAAACUUGAGUGCAGAAGAGGAGAGUGGAAUUCCACGUGUAGCGGUGAAAUGCGUAGAGAUGUGGAGGAACACCGGUGGCGAAGGCGACUCUCUGGUCUGUAACUGACACUGAGAGACAAAAGCUAGGGGAGCAAAUGGGAUUAGAUACCCCGGUGUCCCUGUCUCUUAUACA
RNAcentral lists this ribosomal RNA (301 nucleotides) under uncultured bacterium. RNAcentral describes it as "partial 16S ribosomal RNA". It matches the Rfam family "Bacterial small subunit ribosomal RNA", at positions 509 to 809 of the family's 1533-position model. The record is from RNAcentral.